This 765-nucleotide long non-coding RNA is filed under the name Triticum aestivum (bread wheat). Its description in RNAcentral is "long non-coding RNA (TAES_LNC021878)". Lineage: Eukaryota; Viridiplantae; Streptophyta; Magnoliopsida; Poales; Poaceae. The record is from RNAcentral.
CAAUAGUGGAGCGGAAGCGAUCAUUACUUUAGUGAUUUAGAAAGGGGAGUAUUACUUUACAGAGGGAGUACAUUGUAGUACUGUAGUAAUUUGGUUUUUCUUUGCAAUAUUUAGAGCAUAGAGAUAAUCUAGAGCAUUCUGGAGGGGAAUUAACCGGUAUGAAAUACUGAUGCAUAUAUAUAUUUUUCUGGCGUAAUUUGCUUCUAGGAUGCAGCAACCAUUUGAGAAAAUUUGAUACUUCCUCUGUCCUUAAUUAUUUGUCAGAUAAAUGGAUGUGAGGCGAACAAGGGUCCUCAAAAAGAUUUUUCUCCAAUUUCAAGAUAAUUUGCCAAACCGUCGAGAGCCAGGACGUGCAUCCAGUAGCAACUUUAACAUUGUCUACGCAUGAAACAAACCACCAAGAACAAGAGCAAAAGAGCCAGCUUCAUCUAUCACCACCAAGAACAAGAGCAAAAGAACCAGCUUCAUCUAUCUACCACUACAUCGUAGAGACAAACCCAGCUGGAUGAUCAACAUCUCAGGUGUAAGAAGAGAACAAGAGCUUCACAAUUCUGCAUCCAGUAUCCACUAUCACUACGUGUUGUAGAUCACCUAUGCAUGUACCAACUAGAUGUACCCUUUGUUGAUCACCUAUGCAUGUAUCAACUACAUGUACCCUAUCCUUGUAUGAACUACUUUGCUAUGUUCAAGUUUUGGGAGGACUUACCUGAUAUUUAGAAAAACUAAAUAGCUUAUUGAUCUACGUGGCGCGGCGUGCCGCCGCGC